AUUAGAUACCCUGGUAGUCCACGCCGUAAACGAUGAUUACUAGGUGUCGGUGGGUAUGGACCCACCGGUGCCGCAGCAAACGCAGUAAGUAAUCCACCUGGGGAGUACGUUCGCAAGAAUGAAACUCAAAGGAAUUGACGGGGGCCCGCACAAGCGGUGGAGCAUGUGGUUUAAUCCGAAGCAACGCGAAGAACCUUACCAAGUCUUGACAUCCCAUCGAAUAAAGGGUAAUGCCUUUAGUCCUUCGGGACGAUGGAGACAGGUGGUGCAUGGUUGUCGUCAGCUCGUGUCGUGAGAUGUUGGGUUAAGUCCCGCAACGAGCGCAACCCUUAUUCCCAGUAGCCAGCAAGUGAGGUUGGGCACUCUGGGGAGACUGCCGGGGACAACCCGGAGGAAGGUGGGGAUGACGUCAAAUCAUCAUGCCCCUUAUGAUUUGGGCUACACACGUGCUACAAUGGCGUAAACAGAGGGAGGCGAGCCCGCGAGGGGGAGCAAAUCCCAAAAAUAACGUCCCAGUUCGGAUUGUAGUCUGCAACCCGACUACAUGAAGCUGGAAUCGCUAGUAAUCGCGGAUCAGAAUGCCGCGGUGAAUACGUUCCCGGGUCUUGUACACACCGCCCGUCACACCAUGGGAGUCGGAAAUGCCCGAAGUCUGUGACCCAACCUUAGGGAGGGAGCAGCCGAAGGCAGGUCGGAUGACUGGGGUGAAGUCGUAACAAGGUACC
Molecule: ribosomal RNA, 725 nt
Filed under: uncultured bacterium
Lineage: Bacteria
Description: bacterial SSU rRNA
Rfam family: Bacterial small subunit ribosomal RNA
Source: RNAcentral